Molecule: long non-coding RNA, 2759 nt
Filed under: Octopus vulgaris (common octopus)
Lineage: Eukaryota; Metazoa; Mollusca; Cephalopoda; Octopoda; Octopodidae
Source: RNAcentral
GGAGUGUAAUUCAGGGGAAGGUAAUUCAGGGGUAAUUCAGGGACAGGUAAUUUAUAGGAAUGUCAUUCAUGGGCAGGUGAUUGAGGGGCAUGUCAUUCAGGGACAGGUAAUUCAGGGGCCCAUAAUUUAGGGGCAGGUAAUUCAAAGGCAUGUAAUUCAGGUGUAUGUAAUUCAGGGGCAUGUAAUUCAGAUGCAGGUUAUUCAGGGACAUGUGACUCAGGGGCAGGUAAUUCAGGUGUAUGUAAUUCAGGGGCAUGUAAUUCAGGUGCAUGUAAUUCAUGGGCAGGUAAUUCAGGGGCAUGUAAUUCAGGGGAAGGUAAUUUAGGGGCAGGAACUUCAGGGGCAGAUUAUUGAGUGUCAGGUUAUUCAGGUAUAGGUUAUUCAGGGACAGGUAAUCCAGGGGUAUGUAAUUAAGGGGCAGGUCAUUCAGGGGCAUGUCAUUCAGGGGCAGGUAAUUCAGGGACAGGUAAUUCAUGGGCAUGAAAUUCAGGGGAUGGUAAUUCAGGGGGAGGUAAUUCAGGGGCAUGUUUUUCAGGUGCAGGUAAUUCAGGGGCAUGUAAUUCAGGUGCAUGUAAUUCUGGGUUAGGUAAUCCAGGUGCAUGUAAUUCUGGGUUAGGUAAUCCAGGGGCAUGUAAUUGAGGGGUAGGUAAUUCAGGGGCAUGUAAUUCAGGGGCAUGUAAUUCAGUGGCAUGUAAUUCAUGGGUUUGUAAUUCAGAGGAAUGUAAUUCAGGGGAAGGUAAUUCAGGGACAGGUAAUUUAGAGGAAUGUCAUUCAUGGGCAGGUAAUUCAGGGGCAUGUAAUUCUGGGUUAGGUAAUCCAGGGGCAUGUAAUUCAGGGGCAGGUAAUCUAGGUGCAGGUAAUUUAGGGAUAGAUAAUUCAGGGUCAGGUCAUACAGGUGCAUGUAAUUAAGAGGCAUGUAAUUGAGGGGCAGAUAAUUCAGGGCCAUGUAAUUCAGGGGCAGGUAAUUCAGUUGCAUGUAAAUUAGGGGCAGGUAAUUCAGGGGUAUGUAAUUUUGGGGCAGGUAAUUCAGGUGUAUCUUAUUCUGGUGUAUGUUAUUCAGGGGCAUGUAAUUCAGGGGCAGUUAAUCCAGGGACAUGACAUUCACGGGCAGGUAAUUCCGGGGCAGGUAAUUUAGGGAUAGAUAAUUGAGGGGCAUAUCAUUCAGGGUCAGGUCAUUCAUGUGCAUGUAAUUAAGAGGCAUGUAAUUCAGGGGCAUCUAAUUCAGGUGUUUGUAAUUCAGGGGCAGGUAAUUCAGAUGCAUGUAAUUUAGGGGAAGGUAAUUCAGGGGUAUGUAAUUCAGGGGCAGGUAAUUUAGAGGAAUGUCAUUCAUUGGCAGAUAAUUCCGGGACAUGUAAUUCAGGGGCAUGUAAUUCAGGGAAAGGUAAUUGAGGGGCAGGUAAUUCAGGUGCAUGUAAUUCAGGGACAUGUAACUCAGGGGCAGGUAAUUCAAGGGCAGGUAAUACAGGGGCAUGUAAUUAAGGUGCAGGAAAUUCAGGGCCAUGUAAUUCAGGGCCAUGUAAUUAAGGAGCAGGUAAUUGAGGGGCAGUUAAUUCAGGGGCAUGAAAUUCAGGGGCAUGUAAUUCAGGGGCGGGUAAUUCAGGGGUAAUGUAAUCCAGGGGCAGGUAAUGCAGCGGUUGGUAAUUUAGAGGAAUGUCAUUCAGGGACAUGUAAUUCAGGGGAAGGUAAUUGACGGGCAGGUAAUUCAGGUGCAUGUAAUUCAGGGACAUGUAACUCAGGUACAGGUAAUUCAAGGGCAGGUAAUACAGGGUCAUGUAAUUCAGGGCCAUGUAAUUAAGGGGCAGGACAUUCAGGUGCAUGUAAUUCAGGGCCACGUAAUUACCUCCCUUAAGUAGUUAUCUCCCUUAAGUAUGUAGUUAUCGUAAUAUACGCUUUGUCGCUCUUAGACUCUUUCCGUUAUUUCACUGCGACCAUGGUGGAGCACCGCCUUUAGUGAAGCAAAUCAAGCCCAGGAAUUAUUCUUUGUAUGCCUAUUACUUAAUGUAUAGGUCUCUUUUGCAGAACCGAUAAGUUACGGGGACGUAAUGUUCGAUAUACUUAUUUAGUAGUUAUUUAUUUAUUGUAAGAAUUUCAAUUAUCAUAAAUUAUGGGCUAGGAAAAAUACUAGAAACUUUUUUGAUAGACCUAUUGGGGCUCCUUGUGUGUGUGGGACUGUUUUUAUUUAUGUGAGUGUGGGUAUUUUCAUUUCAGUGUUUGUGUGUGAGAGUGUUUUUAUUUCUGUGUGCGCGAGUGUGUGAGCGACUGAGUGUUUCUAUUUGUUUGUGUGUACGUCACUUACAACUACAACAAACACUUUGACCAUUUGUAAGAUACCCACAUUUGUGAUCACUAAAUACUAAAUCAAAAUAAGUCAAUUUAUUGCACCUUCAUAUAUACACACACACACACACAUGUAUGUGUUUGUGUAUUUAUAUGUCGUACAUAGCGUCGUAUAUAUAUAUAUAUAUAUAUAUAUAUAUAUAAAUAUAUACAUACAGAUAUACGUGAAUAUACCAACACACGUAUAUGUAGUAUCUAAAAGAAACUGUAAGGGAUGGAAUGGGAGUUCAUUCCGUUUUAUUAAGAAAACUUUCAUCUGUAUGUGUGAUAGUACGUGCGUGCAUUCUCGUGUGCCCUUCGAGUGCGAACAUACACAGACACACACAAACACGCACGCACGCACGCACACACGCACACACACACACACACACGCACAUGCACACACACACACACACACAUUUAAACAUAUAUACGACGAGAUU